Long non-coding RNA from Papilio xuthus (Asian swallowtail), 455 nucleotides. RefSeq lists it as uncharacterized. NCBI's taxonomy places the organism in Eukaryota, Metazoa, Arthropoda, Insecta, Lepidoptera, Papilionidae. The transcript has 2 exons. The record is from RefSeq and is a predicted model, not a curated record.
CAUCAUUGCACCAACCUUAAGGUUUUUAUAUAUAAAGAGACAGCGUCUACUGGACACCAUUGCAAACAAGCAGUGCCUUCAAUAGCAACAUUAAGGAAAACGAAAAAAACCCUCCAAAAUGUUUAAAUACGUGUUGUUCGCUGCUCUCUUGGCUUUCGCGUCAGCUAAGCCUUUAGUGUACGAGUACCCGGUAGCCGCAGCAUACACGGCUCCGGUAGCCGCGGCCUACACCGCACCAGUCGCCUACUCCGCCUACUCUGCCUACACCGCGCCUGUUGCUGCAUAUUCUGCUUACACAUACGCAUCUCCCUACACUUACUAUGUUCGUUGAAAACAAUGAAUGUUACUAGCUCGACGACAAUCAAGCAAGUCAAUAGUACCUAAUAUUGUAAGAUACAUCGCAGAUUAAAAAUACAUAAAAAAUAUACAUAUUUAUUAAUGAAGCUAUCAUGAAA